UGGAGUGGACGAGGCGGUUGCUCCUUCUACUCUGCAAGAGAAAGAAGGGGAGGAAAGUCCGGACUCCAAAGGGCAGGAUGGUCGUUAACAGCGACUCCGGGCGACCGGAGGAAAGUGCCACAGAAAACAUACCGCUCUGUGAGAUUGGCCAAGCUGCCGUCUCACGGAGUAAGGGUGAAAAGGUGAGGUAAGAGCUCACCGUUCUGGUGGGGACAUCAGGAGCAUGGUAAACCCCAUCCGGAGCAAGACCAAAUGAGCCCAUUAUGGGAUGGCCCGUCCCCAGGGCAGGUAGGUCGCUCAUCCCUUUGAGCAAUCAAGGGGUUAGACAAAUAACCGCCCCCGAUUCCAGCGGGAACAGAAUUCGGCUUAUGUUCUGCUCCAGCCG
This 385-nucleotide RNase P RNA is filed under the name Candidatus Aminicenantota bacterium. Its description in RNAcentral is "Candidatus Aminicenantes bacterium RNase P RNA component class A". It matches the Rfam family "Bacterial RNase P class A". From Rfam's summary of the family: Ribonuclease P (RNase P) is a ubiquitous endoribonuclease, found in archaea, bacteria and eukarya as well as chloroplasts and mitochondria. Its best characterised activity is the generation of mature 5'-ends of tRNAs by cleaving the 5'-leader elements of precursor-tRNAs. The record is from RNAcentral. Lineage: Bacteria; Candidatus Aminicenantota.